CAGAGGUAGUUUAAUAAAAAAAAUAUUAAUUUUGGGGAUUAAUGAUAAAGGGGGUUUUCUCUGA
This 64-nucleotide transfer RNA is filed under the name Potamiscus yiwuensis. Its description in RNAcentral is "tRNA-Pro". Lineage: Eukaryota; Metazoa; Arthropoda; Malacostraca; Decapoda; Potamidae. The record is from RNAcentral.